GGUGCGGCGGCGGGAGCAGCGCGCGAGGAGCGGCGGGGCCGGCGCACCUGACUGAAUGGAGGAGCAAGUGGACGGGAAGUUCCUGCGCCACACACAGAUCACAUUUAUUACUCUCGCCCUCAGAGACCCGGAGAUCCAAACCGUUCGCAUGGUGCCUUGAAGCAGCCUGUGCUCAUGCGCUUCUCCCAGGGAGAAGGCGGAAUGGCAGUGACUGGCCACGUUAAGCCACAGGGUGCACACUCUGCAGCUGUCAAGCCCAGCUCUGCGUCAGCUCACACCUGCGAUUUUGCGCCGCACACGCGGAUUUGAGUUGUCGCUGGUUGUUGCAGCGUUUGGCUUUGGGCAGCAGCGUGCAAAGGAAAAGCAAGGAAGGAGGUGAACCUGUGAGGAAGAGUGAUGGAUAAAGAGGAUUGGAGCGCACCUGCCAGUCAAGAGGGAUCAAGAAAGAAGACACCGGUGGUGGAACCGCAGGUCAGGAGAGCUCAAGGAGGGAGAAAGGUGGUUGUGGCCAUAUGGGUUUUUCUAGCUCACACACCAAUGAAAACAGUUUAGAUAAGAAAAGAAAUGUAUGCAAAUCCAACAAUUAAAGGCAGAGAAUGUUUAUAUGCUAUGUAUGGGAUAGACCUGAAGGUAUAUUUCUUCCUACAAUGAAGGAGAAUUCACAAUGGUAAUUAACUGAAGAUGUGAAUUUCCAGUUUACAUUGGCAACAUAUGCAAGGAACAUAUGAGUUUAUUACCCUCAGCAUAAACUGUGGGCUGAAAUUGAUAAUUUACCCUUAUACGGCAAACGCUGCUGUCAGCAUUGACCAGUAAGCAACAAGACUGUAUUUACUGAUGCCUCUGGUCGCUCACGUAAAGUUGUAAUGACGUGGCUAAACUCAGAUACCCAGUGCUGCAAACACAAGGUAGAAAAAGAGACCAAGGGUCAAACAAGUUCUUGAGCUGACAGCUGUUAGGAUCGCUUUGAGGUGUUCUGUAAAAACCUUUGGAUGUUGUAACUGGCUCAUAUUAUGCAGCUGGCAUACUUAACCGCCUGGAAGCUUCUUUUCUUAAGGAAGAGGAUAAUCCUCUUUUGAUGGCUGAAUUGAGAAUGCUAUGGUUUCUAAUAAAUCAUAGACAUCAUGGUUAUUAUGCAAUGCACACCCACUCGCUCUCGCACUGCCCUUCCAGGACCUCUUGCGGAAGGCAAUAGGAGGGCCGAUGCACAAGCUGUGCUGCUCACUGUGCCUGAAGCCUUGGAGCAAGCUAAAUUAUCACAUGAAUUCUUUCACCAGAGUGCAAAGUUGCUAAAACGACAAUUUCAAAUUACAGUGGAUCAGGCCAGGAGCGUUCUUAUGUCCUGCCCUGAUUGCCAACAGUUGGCACCCGUGCCAUCCAGAGAGGGUGUUAAUCCAGGAGGGAUUACUGCCAAUGAAGUACGGCCAGCUGAUGUAACGCAUUGUUCUGAAUUGGGUAAAUACGUACGUGUUUCUGUAGACGCUCAUUCCAGAUUUCUCGUUGCUGCUGCACGUGCUGGUGAAAGAGCACGAGACGUCUGUAACAUUGGUUGACAUGUUUUGCUGUUUGAGGAGUUCCACGAUAUGUAAAACCAGAGGAAAGCGGAACGCACGCUCGAUUAGAGGAGCGAUCCCCCAGUGCGCUGUAAUAAAAGUGCCUGCUUUUUAACACUUUCAAAA
Molecule: long non-coding RNA, 1676 nt
Organism: Columba livia (rock pigeon)
Lineage: Eukaryota; Metazoa; Chordata; Aves; Columbiformes; Columbidae
Exons: 3
Source: RefSeq, a predicted model, not a curated record